GUUGUGUGUUCCCUGAGUUGCUUGCGCGUAACGGUGUUAAGUUCGGUGAAGCUGUAUGGUUCAAAGCUGGUUCACAAAUCUUCAGUGAAGGUGGACUUGACUAUUUGGGAAACCCUAGUUUGGUUCAUGCACAAAGUAUCUUAGCUAUCUGGGCUUGUCAAGUUGUCUUGAUGGGUGCUGUUGAAGGUUAUCGUAUUGCGGGUGGACCUCUUGGUGAGGUUGUUGAUCCACUUUACCCUGGUGGUAGCUUUGAUCCCUUAGGACUUGCCGAUGACCCUGAGGCUUUCGCUGAGCUCAAGGUGAAGGAGAUCAAGAACGGUAGACUCGCUAUGUUCUCCAUGUUUGGGUUCUUUGUUCAAGCUAUCGUAACCGGAAAGGGUCCAUUGGAGAACCUUGCAGACCACCUUGCUGACCCAGUUAACAACAACGCCUGGGCUUACGCGACCAACUUUGUCCCCGGAAAGUGAAAUUGUGAUACAUAAUCAUGAGUUUGUAGCUUAUUGUGAGACAUGAAUCUAUAGGAAGGGGUCAGUCUUUUAGAAGCAUUCUGGGUUAUGGAUUCAGUACAAGAAUAUUGUAAUGUGGUGUAAAUUGGUUUGGAUUAAUUAAUGAAGAACAUGUUAAAUCUUUUUUCAUAUGACAACAGGUUAAUUAUUAAGGCAAACAACAUCAAUCCCAACAGUUUAGAGCUUAAUUACAGAAAAUUCCAACAUUUUACAUAAUUACUGAAAAUCUCGAUUUUGGAUCUGUCGAGGUAUAUAAUUAGCUCCCGAUACGUCUGACGAAGAUACAUUUUUUUCCUUUCUAAAGAUACAUAAUUAGCUUCCGAUGCAUUUUCUCGAUUUUGAAUUUGUCGAGUUACAUGAUGCAUCCAGCAAAGAUACAUAAUUCGCUGCCAAUAUAUUUUUUCAGAUUUUGGCCUGUCGGAAUACAUGAUUAGCUCCUGAUACAUCCAACGAAUAUACAUAAUUAGUUGAGAUUUUUACCUCAGAGGUGAUACAGAAAGAUUGUUUCCGAUAGACUCUCGGCUCGAGACAAUAUAGAGUCCAGAAAAACUAGUAUAUUCACACUAAACUUACCAAUAUUUCAGUGAUAAAGAGGGCUGAACUGGACAUGAAAGUAGAAAAGCAGGAUGGUAAUGCAACAGAUUUACCAGUGGGAAGCAGAAACACUACUAGCUAUAUAUAGAUUAAAAUCGUCGAAAAAGGGGGGUCAACUGUGUUGAACAAGAGCUAAAAGAAAACACAGACGAGACUACUAGCACGGCGUUAGCUCAGACAUAUUACCUACGUUACACUUAACGCUGAGAUAAACACGUAAAAGUACACAGCCUCGUGGCACAGUACAGCAGCCGGUCAAGUCUCUUCAGGGAUCGUGAACGAUGGUUGCCACUUAGUAAGAGCUUUAGUAGCUGUUUUGCCAUAUCUGUUGUUGCGACUGCUGCUGCUGCUUAGGCUGGCCUUGUGAACCAACCAACGAUCCAUCUCGGAGGUUUUGUUGCUGUUGUUGGUCUAAUGAGAUACCAGCUUGAGAAUUGUAGAAAUGUGGGUAGCCCCCCAAAGAUCCAUAGCACUGUUGCGAUGGCGGUUGUUGGCCUUGCCUAAAUCCGCUCGUCUGCUGAUUUUGUCCCUGAAAGCCAUAAUACGUGUUGGCGGGAACAGCUGACAUUGUUCUUGAACCAGAUCCGUGAAGCCACAAAGCUGAGUUCUCACUCUGAAAGAGAACGGAAGCAAGAGUGUCAAGUAAAGCGACGCACAUGGCAGAUAGAGCCAACGACAAAUUGAAAUUACAGUGCAUUUCUAAAGUUUCGCAAACAAAACCAGUAGCUAGGGGUGCCAAAUGGGCGGAUUGGGCAGGUCAAAAGGGUGGGUCAUGUUUCCGUGGGUUGAUUUUGCAACGCCUAACAGUAGCUAUCAAAAAGGUCAUUUGACACAAUGAUGACGAGCAAUUUUUUGGAGAGAGAGCGAAUUCAGUCGGAAUAGUCGUGCUUGCAAAAAUAACAGGUUACCUGCUGAAGAGACAUCAAAUGAUUGGUAUCAUUGUACUGAGAGCUUAAUACAUCAUCGUAACUUAAGUUAGUACCAGACGGAGCAGCAGGGGGGUUAAUUGGGAAGUUCCCCGGGAUGUUAGUUGUAUUUCCAAAAGCACCAUAUCCAGAAGGAACACUGGCAGAUGGAGGCAAGCUGCUGGCAGAAACGGUAUUCUUAUAUUGUGGGAGCAUCGCUGCGAGCGACUGAUGGUAACUGUUGUUACCAGGAAAUGCUUGUUGGAAUGCGGAUGGCAUAUAUGAAUAGUUCUGAUGCAUAAACGGGUAACUAAUCAUGUUGGCAAACGGUCCUAGAGGAACAGCUGGUUGUGAAUAUUGGUGUACAGUUAGAUGUUGUGGUACGCUAGGUCCUGUGGCGACACUAUUUCCAGGAAGCAUCUGCUGAGUAGGCUGCGCUGAUGAAAAACCCACCGUCUUCAUAGCCUGCAGGAAUCAUGACCCACAGUCAACUAUUACGCACCAUAAAAACAAGAGAAGGGAGAAAAAUUAUUGCACUGACAACUUCGAAAGGGGGGAAAAUAAGAUGGAUAAUUCUUUCCCCGUCUCAAGUCACCAAUUCAUACUACAUAGAGUUGCAAUAGACAGCACACUGGCCAUAAUAUGAAUCAAGAGAUCAAACUAAAGCAACACAGCACUUAAGAGGAACCACAUUUAAGAUACGUCAUAUGUGUGGUCAAUAUUUGUAUAAAAUGCGGAACUUUUUAACCACUUAAACCUAUAACUUUUAGUUGCAUUGCAACGAUCAGAACAAUCCAAGAGAAAAGUUUCCUUUAGAAACAAAAUGUGUACUGAGUAACUGAAAGGUACUUCUCUGUUCCCUCCUUCCAAACUAUACUAGAAGAAUAUCCAUGACUCGGAAAAAAGAAAAAAAAAAAAAAGCACGAAUCUAAUGUGAAAAUCCUCAAGAUUCAUAACUUUAUACGUGUUACAUAGUAAUCGAUUUCUUGUUUAUGAACAAUCUACUUCAUCAGGAAAAACCAAUAUAACCAGCUUGUAGCGAGACCCUGACCAAACUCACCUGCCUGGAAAUCAAGAAGCAUAAGCACUUACUUGAAUUUGGAGGAUCAUUCGUUAUUCACUCUCUUUCUAUUACCCGCAGGGAGUGCAGCAACCAAGAUGCAUAUUAUCAUAUAGAAAGAGGCGAAGCGUAGCGAUUUGUACUACUGGAAAAGUUUCGCUAACCAGCAGGCAAUAGAAUCAGCCGAUAGGCGCAGGCAAGCGUAGCGAAUCACAUAGAUAAGCCCCUACCUGCCAGCGCGCGGAUAGAUAGGGUGGGCGAAGUGCGAAGGGGAUGGAUGUCUGAGCGGUUGAAAGAGUCGGUCUUGAAAACCGAAGUAUUUUUCGAAAUACCAGGGGUUGUACAUUUUAACUCAAAUCAAAAUGGUCAAUUGUUGCCGUCAUCCAAUACAAAUAGUUAAGGUCAAAUAUGUGUGCGGGUAAGGGCACCAAAACUACAGCUGAAGCUAGGAUAGAGAGACAUGUGCAAUAUUGAUUAGACGCGGGCAGAAAUAUUACCUCAGGCAUGGAAAUGGUUGAACCACUGAUUGAUGACAUUGAGUUGCCAUAUUUUGUGGGCAUUGCUUGUGUUGUUGAAAAAGGAGAAUAUGAAAGCUCAGACUCUCGACCAGGGUGAAUGUUAGCAGCCAACAAGUUACUCUGCAAGGAAUUUGUGUAGACCUACUCGAACAAAAAAAAAAAAAAAGCAAGCGAGCUAAUUAGGUAAAACACAGAUAUUACGCUCUAGCAAAUAACAGUAACUCGGAUCAGGUUGGCAUGCUUCUGUAGUAUUUUUGUUUUUUUGGGCAAGUGACAUGAUGCACAAACACAAGUUAGCUAUUUGGAACUCAUAAUGAUAGUGAAAUAAUGAUAUUAUAUGUUAACAUUGCUAGGUUAAAAUAUGAAGUAACUUUUUGAAAAGGGAAAACUGGAUAUGUUCAAAUAAUAAGAAAGAUACCGUGUUAUAAGAAAGAAUUCAGUAAUUAGGAAAAUUUCCAUAACCUAUUUCAAGUUAGCCUAAACACCAACAUAAGGACCUCUUAUUUGUUUCACAGCCAAUUCCAACAAAACAAGCUCUCAUUAAUUGUGAAAACACAACCAAUUAUUGAAAUAGCAAAACAUGCCAUGUCGAGUGGCUACACAUACACAUAAAUAUUAGCUACAAGCUCGCAACCAGCAUAUUGCGUGGAGCACAUUAAAUACAGAUUAAACAGAAUGAAGCACUGUUGAUAUGUUUCCCCACAGCAAAGGAGCCAAGGAAACAAGAGAGUCUAUGUAGUGAAGAAAACUUGAACAUACCCAAAAUACAAUGAAUCCCAAGGGAAUAUAUGAAACGGGAGGGUCUAGCAUUUGGGAAGUGUUUCGCAUAACUAACAAUAGGUAGUGAAUCCCCAGGAGAGCAUAUGAAACCAUUUUAUAUCCUGAACAAAAAACAGAAAAGUAUCUUACCGCCUCAUUUGGAAAAGGAGCAAGAUUUUGCAUAUGAGAACUCGUCUGUGGCUGACUAAAUGCUGAAUUUAAUUGUUGAGCACUUUCAUAGGAAUAGCCAGCAGCAGAGGACGGAUAUGAGUAAUGCCCAUCACAAGUUUCUGCCUUUGGCGAUUCUGGUUGUGAAGCCGCAGGCAAUUCAUAAUUUCCAGAAUUUGCAUUAUUUCUUGGGAAUAAUUUAUUAUCGGACUCAUUUCUGAGAGUAUCAUCGCCAUAGUAUUCAGCGGCCCUGUAAAAUAAUGACAGAGAACAUUGUGUAUUAAAUUUUAGAUCGAAAAAGGUACAACGUGUCUACAUCAUCAUCAUUUUAGUGUAAACAAAGAUUUAAUUAGCGAAAGAGGGUCACAAGCUAAUAUUGCUAUUUGAUUAACUAAAAUAUGGAACAAUUCUUGAAAACCCAAUGAGCAAAACCAAACGAGAUUGACGCAAGGAUAUUCGAUUGAUGUCAUUUAUUUAAAAAAAAUGAGAAGAAUGUAUAAGUAACUGAUAAAGAAGAUAAACGUACACGACAAUUAAAUGAUUGAAAAACUUUUUGACAUCAUUGUCCACGUAGAGAAAGAGUUGACUAGAGUUUUCAAUUAGCAUAUAAACACACAACUUCUGCAAUAUAUGCAAAUAACUAAUUUAGCAACUCAGCAAACUAAGGAAACGGCCAACUAAAAGAAGUCGAACCUGGUGCCCAAGUGCGCAACUGAAGAACUAUCUGCUUCUGUAGAAGCAUCUUCCAAGGUAGUUUUCACAGGGGCAGCGGCCAGUGAUCCAGAAAAUGACACACCAGUAAAGCUACCAAAACUUAGGUGUGAACAGUCAGCUGCUUGAACUUGAAGAUGGUCUGGAAACACAAGGGACGGACAAUUCCCAUCAGAUGGCAAACCCCGAUCAUCCUUUACAUUUAGUUGCUGCAAGUUCGCAGCAACUGAUGAAACUGAGGCAUUAACAUCUUCAACUGCCACAAGAUUAAAGAACAUUCUUACAUAAACGAGAGGAUAGUACUUUAAAACAAUUGAAAAACAAAACUACAGUUGUACCAAGGAAUAAUAUUUACUAUAGAGUGCAACGUGCAACAGCUUAGUAGAGAUCGCUACUUCUAUUUAUAAAGCUAAGUACACACAAGGUACUCUCAGUCCAAAUAUUCAUCCUUCAGAUCCUGCACCUUUUUCUCUAAGAACUAAAGACAAAAGAUGCAGGAUGAAAUGCCUCCUAAGCAGCUCACCCAUGCAUGCCAACCCCCGCCAAAAAAGAUACCAACACACACACACACACACACCAAGAAAGUGAUGGAGCUAAUUUAAAAAGAGAAAAAAGGAAGCACUAAAUUAGAGGGAAGCGGGAGACUGCAAACGUGUGUUUAGAGGGGCCACAUCUGCUCAGGAAGAUCCUCAUAAAAGCAAUUUGACUGGAACAUUGUCAAAAUAACCAAAACUUGCCAGAAGUUUAGAGCGAAGUGAAACCAAUUAUCCGAAACAUUUAGGUUUCUGAUAUGCUAAAUAUCCAUUGGAAGUAGACAGACAUACAGAUUGACACAAAGUAAGGAUGAGAUUAAGAUGCUAGUACUCUAGGAUUGGCAGACGGUUAAGGUUAACACUUCAUCGCUUUCUACUUCUUCCAUUUUCCCAUUUCUGCAAACUUAAAGGUCAACAGCUAAUGACAAGAUCAGAUAGAGGGAGAAACAGCAGCAAUAAAAUAGAUCUGAUGAUCGUAGGAUGUCACGACUGCAUUCCUAUAACAAAAUUGUCAAGAUCUACUUCUAACGUGCCAUAUUAAAUAAUCCUAUAAAAAUAAGGCAGAGGGAGAUACAAAGGAGAAAAAUGAGUUACAAGGAACUAAAGAACCGCCAAAUCAAUUCCAAAGCCUCAAUGCCAAAACGCCAACCAAUACACCUCAGUUAAACUAAAACAAUGAGACUAAUAUAUCCAACGAUAUGCAUAUCUCAUGCCAAAUCAAAACUUCUACACAUAUUCACCUUGUGGAUGGUCAAAAGUGUGAUUCUGGUGCUGAUAUCUGUAGGGGUCAUUGUCAUACAGAGAAGCACUAUCAGCAUUAUCCUCCUGAAACUUUCUACUGGAAAAAGAAUUACCAAGAUCUUCAUUAGCACUGUCAUCUGCCUCUUCAGACUCGUCCGUCUGAAUUUGAUUAUCAAUUCUGUCAAAAGACGUGUUAGACGGAUCCGGAUGCAGCACGGAAUUAGUGGGAGGCUCCGAGACAGAAGGCUGGCUAGCAGCUGAUGGCUGCUCAAUUGAAGGCCACUCAUCAUUCGCUGAAAGAUCCUGAGAUGAAUAAUCCCUUGGUUCCUGAUGUACCUCAGGAACCUUCAAAUGAUCAUCAGAUAACUGCAUAUUAUGAUGUGAUGCACCAUAAGGAGGUGGUGCCUGAUCAUGGUUUUGGUUGACGCCGACAGUACGGUGAGAUAUAUUGGGUAUACUAGACACUUUACUCUGCGGCCUACCCAUCUUCACAAUAUCAGCCAUUGAUACUUGGCCUGGCACCCCACCCCAAGUAGGUUGAUAUCCAGAAGAAGGCUGGGAAGCAGCUGAAUGACCAUCAACUGCUGCUGCUGCCAAUCUUUUACUGUCAUUUCCAGCAGCAUCACUGCAACGCCAUUCAAAGCAUAAAAAGAAAAAAAAAGAAAAAAUAAGUCGAGAAUCUUCAAUAACAUGCUCAUUCUGCACAUAUGAAUGCAUGUAAUCCCGGAAUAGACGCAAUCCCUGAAUAAUUUAACAUGCAUGGUUCAAAGGAUAAAGGACGAGAAUAUUCAAAGAUUAGGUCUGCAGACACACUAUCCCCCCCACUGCUAAAUAAAUUUGGUUUUUCAAUAACAGCUUGAGUAUGGUAAGAACUUCUCGAGACAUUGACAAAUUUAAUGAACCAUACAGCAGGGUUUGACGGAUUAUUACACCGUUACCACCAACGGAAUCUAAAAGCAAGUGACUGUCUAGUGAAAGAACCAAAACCUUCUGACAAGACAACAGUACUAACCUGACGGCAGUUGGUCUCCUAUCUGUGUUACUUCCUGCAAUUAGAGGGGUUGAAGAGAAAUUGUUUGUUUGCGAUCCACUCUCCUUCCUGUAUGCAGGAGCGGGCUUGGUAGACUCUGUCAGAGUUUUUUAGAAAGCAAAACAAUCCACUAUCAGAUAACAUGACUUACACAACUCAAACCUAAUCUCUCUUUCAGAAAAUGUGCAUUAAAAUGUUUAUACCUGAUCCACCACGCCCAACAUAUCGUUCCCCACCAUCCCUACUGCCACGACUUGGAGUGCUACUCGUGAUCCAAGACCUAGAUUCAGUUGUAUCCUUAGUCUGAACCAAACAUGAACAGAAGUAAAGUUAUAACUACAAAAAAGUAAUUUGAGAAAGCAACAUAACAAUCUAAUUAAAGCACCUUUUCAAGGUCAUCGACUCAAUUAUAAGGAAGCUAAUCUUCGACGACAGACAGUUACAUAUCAAGUGGAGUGUGCAAUGCAGGGCAAAGAUUUUUUUAAAAAAGUUGGGGGUAGGGGAGCGGAGAACAGAGAGGGAAUGACAAAGUGGGAAAUCGAACUCCGACCAACAAGGUGAAAAUUCAAGUAGCCAAUCAACUGAGCUACUAAGAUUCCCAAGGGCUCUCAACAUGUCAAAUGAAAGCAUGACUCUACAGAUAUAUAAAGUUCAAAAAAGUCUAGACAUAUAUUGGUUCAAGAAGUUAUGCUUUAACGGUGAUUACGAACCUCUUUUCUCUUUUCUCGUUUGCUCUUCACCUCAUGAAAAGGAUCUAGUCAAUUAAAAAACUUCAAAUUAGAAGGUGAUAAGAAAUAUCAACUUAUUCAAGCAGGGAAGAUUGACAAAAUAUAAAUAGGUUUUAAGCAAAGAUAAUACAAAGAUGUCACUUCAAGUAACUAGUACGGAAUGAAACAGCAAAAGCACAGGGAGAGCAUGAUUAGCAACAAAAAUUCAAAUUAAUGCAGCUUAGGCAGUGCAACAGUGGUAAAAUCACCAGCAUCAAUCUGAUGCUUUUUCAGAGCCCAACAUUUGAUUCCUGCUUAAACCUUGCUUCCAACGGCAGUCUAUGUCAUCCUCAAGGUAAAUUCUAAAUAAUGUUCCGACUAUGGCAUUUACGAAUAGUAUCAAAAUACCACCUCCCAUGUGACUGGCGAGUACAUAGUGGUAACGGCUCACAAUUAGCUACAUUAACUUCCGUUUUGAGGUAGAUGUUUUCAUUCCCAGGGCAUCAAGUAGAUGUGCCUGGUUUGACCGGUAAAAACGGUUUGGUGAACACUCGGUUUUAAGGACAUGAUUAAGGAGUUGUGAUGCAACCAAAACGUCUUCUAUUCCUUUCAAAACAUUUAGUUCCUAUGUUAGUUAACAUUGAGAUUGGCAAUACACAAUUACUCAGGAAAAUACAGGUGAAAAGAUAGCCAUCUCAAACUGAAAUACCACAGAGUCCAUUAAACAUAAAAAUGACUCAAGGAUCAGGCCAAACACGAUACGCCAAAAAAUCUUCUAUAAUUUUCAAUAUAAUGCCAAAAAAGUCAAAAAUUUUACCGAACGAAUAAGUAUUUCUCCAUAAUGGAAGUUACGUAGCAUUCCAAAUAUGAAAACUUCGCAUAUACACAACCCAUUAGCUUGAUUUUUCUUGCUUAGAUAAAGCUUGGAUUUAAAGAACAUUAAACCCACACACAAGACACCACAAGAGUUUGAAACAAAGAUGGCAAAUUAUAUAACAUGAAAGGGGAUAAUCCAUUCUUCUCCCAGUGUGAGUAUUCGUUUCAUUUAUUUUUAACAUAAUCAUUACUAUCUUCAUAUCUGGAACAACCACAAGAUAAGGAAAACUAAAAGAGGCUACUUAACCAUAUAAUCUGAAAACUGAAAAAUUGCAUGCACAGAAAACUGAAGGACCAACGGAUUCCUCGUACGCAGAAAUUAAUUACAAAAAGAAACAAAAAAAGAUUUCAACUUUAAGGGUUCAUAGCUUGCUUAAAGGGACCUUCGAGCAUAUGUUCGGCUUCAUUAGGGUACUUUAUAAGCUGAAAACUAAAAAUUGCACAACACUAAAGACCCAAAAAAUCUCCAAUAGCCAGUACUUAUUACGAAAAGAAAGCUCAUUUAAGGGUUAAUAGCUUAAACUCCAAGAAUACGAAGUCAAUUGUCAGCUUCAUUAGGAUAAUCAACAAUCUACAACAACAACAACAUACCCAGUGUAUUCCCACAAAGUGGGGUCUGGGGACGGUAAAGUGUACACAGUCCAUACCACUACCUCAGACAAAGUAGAGAGAGAGAGGAACAGAGGUUGUUCCUGAUAGACCCCCCCGAAGGAUAAUCAACAAUCUAAAAACAGGAAGUUUGUAUUUUUCAACAACAAAACCAGUGUAUUCCCACAAAGUGGGGACUGGGGAGGGUAAAAUGUACGCAAUCCAUACCAAACAGAAAAUUUGUAUUUUUCAACAACAACAUACCCAGUGUAUUCCCACAAAGUGGGGUCCGGGGAGGGUAAAGUGUACACAGUCCAUACCACUACCUCAGACAAAGUAGAGAGGAACAGAGGUUGUUCCUGAUAGACCCCCCCGAAGGAUAAUCAACAAUCUAAAAACAGGAAAUUUGUAUUUUUCAACAACAAAACCAGUGUAUUCCCACAAAGUGGGGACUGGGGAGGGUAAAGUGUACGCAAUCCAUACCAAACAGAAAAUUUGUAUUUUUCAACAACAUACCCAGUGUAUUCCCACAAGGUGGGGUCUGGGGUAAAGCGUACGUUGUCCAUACCAUUACCUCAACCACAGAUGAAGUAGAGAGGUUGUUUCCGAUAGACCCCCAGUUCAGGACGGAUAGCAUAGCAGUAUAACGAACAAACGACAUAAAAGCAAACAACAAAAACGGAUAUCACGCCUCUAGAUAAUAAAGGCAACAAGACACCCACAAGUUAAUGCUAUAAACUAGUUAUUCGAAAUCAUAAACAUCACCAAAAAACCACGAACAAAAGACUACAAGAAACUACAGCCACAGAUACAAACAAAGCACUCUUCCCUACUAUGACGUCCCUACUACUACAUACGUACUCCUACCUACUAACCCUCUGCCCUAAUACGCGUCCUGCACACCUUCCUAAAGGGGAAAUUUGUAUUUUUCAUACACACUAACUAAAGAACCAACAAAAACUCCAAACACCAUGAAAUUAAUUAUGAAAAAUUACCAAAAAAGAAUUCAACUUUAAGGGACUACAACAACAACAACAACAACAUUAGUGUACUCUAUAAUCUAAAAACAGAAAAUUUGUAUUUUAAACGGUUCAGCUUUAAUUGUUUAUAGCUUAAUCUCAAAGGAACUUAACUAAGAAGCCAAUAAACAACAUCAUUAGGAUAAUCUAUAAUCUAAAAACGAAAAAAUUAUAUUGUUCAUUCACACAAAACUCUAAAGAACCAAAAAAAAUCCUAAACCCCACAAAUUAAUUACCAAAAAACAGCUCAAUUCAAUGGGUUUAUAGCUUAAAAAUUUCAUACACACAACACUAAACAACCAAAAAAUCCCCAAACCCCACAAAUUAAUUAUGAAAAAACAGCAUAAAUAACUCAAUUUACAGCUUAAACUCAAUUUACAUUCUUAAAAAAAAAACAAAAAAAAAAUAUUUUUUCAUGCAAAUUUUUUUUUUAUUAAUUUACAAAAAAAAAAAAUAACAACAAACUUUAUAGGAGUACAUAAUUCACCAUGAGCAAGAAGCUUAUUAACAAAUCCCCAAACCCCAUAAAUUAAUUAUGAAAAAAACAGCAUAAAUCACUCAAUUUAUAGCUUAAACUCAAUUUAAUUCUUUAAAAAACAAAAAAAAAAUAUUUUUUCAUGCACGAAAAAACCCAAAAUUCAAUUUACAAAUAAUAAUAAUAAUAAUAAUAAUAAUGACAAAAUUUAUAGGAGUAUAUAAUUCACCUUGAGCAAGAAGCUUAUUAACAGCUUCAUUAGGAUCCAUAUUACAUUCUUUAAGCAUAGCAUAUAUCUCAUCUUCACUAAAAUUCUUUACUAUUUCCUUUAAAUUUUCUACCAUCUUGUUUUUUCCUCCUCCUUUGCUAGUCAUUGAAAAGAAAAUAAUUGAAUUUUCAGAUCUAUUGUAGUUGAAAUUUAUGGAGUUUAUGGUGUCAAGAAAGAAAAACACAGUACACGCAAAACACACAGUGACUUGAAAAUAUAGGAGGUUGGAAGGGAGAUAUAUAUCUAAAGAGGUGAAUUUUUUAUUUUUUUAUUUUUGGUUUAAAAAAAAUUAUUACAUGAUUUUUUAAAAAAAAUUUAGUCUCUUUAAUAAUUUUGGUAAAGAUAUAAAAGUGUCAAACUCUUUUUUGGUAUAUUUUUAGGUUAAUAGUACCCUUGCCCGACUAAUUUGGGCACGUAUAUAUUCUCGAACUAUUGAAAAUAGUAUGGAUAUACAUACCCUCCAGUUUAGACGGUGUACAUCACGUAUCCUCGUUCAAAAGGAUUUAACCCGUUAUUCCUUAGUAAUUUAUCCCCUGAUCUGUCGAAAAAAUAUUCAACGACCAGAGUUGGAAGCGAGUUUCGGCCACGACUAUUUCUUGGCGAACUAAAAUCAAUGCGAUCACAGAAUAUUUCUUUAGGAUGAGGACAUGUGGGCAAAGCUAACUUCCAACUCCAUCCGUAAAACAUUUCUCUGGCAAGUCAGAGGAUAAAUUGCUAAGAAAAAAUGGGUUAAUUUCUUUCGAACAAGGAUAUAUGGCGUGCAGCGUCUAACUGAAGGUUAAAGGGUAUACACGUACCAUUUUCAAAAAUACCCACUAAAUAUAAUUGAUUUUUAGCUGUAUUAUAGUUGAAUUUUAUGAUGUUUAUAGUGAAUCAAGAAAGAAAAACACAGUACACGCGCAAGACAUAGUGACUUAAAAGAAACCAGGGUUAGACGCACCGUUUCGUCCGCUUGUCUACCCAAAUGAGCAAGAAUAUUGAAAUGGACCACACUGGGAUGAUCCCCAACUUCCUUGGCAUACCUCGAUCGAUUUUCGGCCCACAGCACGCCCGAACCCCCCCGGCCCACCCCGGAACCGUGGGCUAUAGCACACCGAUUUAUCCCGAAAAUACCCCAUUCGCGUCGUUUCGCCCGUUUGUCCACCCAAAUGGCCACGAAUAUUGAAACGAACCACACUGGGACAAUCCCCAACCUCCCUGGCACGCCCCAAUCGAUUUUCGACCCACAUCACGCCUGGACCCUGAGCCCACCCACGGAGGCCGAAACCGUGGGCUAUAUAGCACACCGAUUUAUCCUGAAAAUGCCCCGUUCGCGCCGUUUCGCCCGUUUGUCCACCCAGAUGGCCACGAAUAUUAAAAUGGACCAUACUAGGACGAUCCCCAACCUCUCUGGCAUACCCCGAUUGAUUUUCGGCACACAGCAUAUCCGAACCCCGGACCCACCCACGGAACCGUGGGCUAUAUAGCACACUAAUUUGGCCUGAAAAUCCCCCGUUUGCGUCGUUUCACCCAUUUGUCCACCCAAAUGGCCACAAAUAUUGAAACAGACCACACUCAAAUAAUCUCCAACCUCCCUGGCACGCCCCGAUCAAUUUUUGACCCACAGCAUGCUCAGACCCCGGGCCUACCCAUGGAACCGCAGGCAAUAGCACACCGAUUUGGCCCGAAAAUGCCUCAUUCACGCCGUUUCGCCCGUUUGUCCACCCAAAUGACCACGAAUAUUGAAACGGACUACAGUGGGAUGAUCACCAACCUCCAUGGCACGCCCCGGUCAAUGUUCGGCCAUCAGCACGCCAGAACCUCAGGCCCACCCAUGGAACCGCGGGCUAUAGCACACCGAUUUGACCCGAAAAUGCCCCUUUUGCACCAUUUUACUCGUUUGUCCACCUAAAUGGCCACGAAUAUUAAAACGGACCACACUGGCGAUCCCCAACCUCCCUAGCAUGCCCCGAUCGAUUUUUGACCCACAUCACAUCUGAACCACGGGCCCAUACACGGAACCGUGGGCUAUAGCACAUCAAUUUGGCCUGAAAAUGCUCCGUUAGCGUCAUUUCACCUGUUUGUCCACCCAAAUGGCCACGAAUAUUGAAACGGACAACACUGGGACAAUAUCCAACCUCCCUGGCACGCCUUGGUCAAUUUUUGACACAUAGCUUACCAGACCCUGGGCCCACCCACGAAAUUGUGGCUAUAACACAUUGAUUUGGUCCGAAAAUGCUCUAUUCGUACCGUUUCGCCCGUUUGUCCACCCAAAUGCCACGAAUAUUGAAACGGACCACACUAGGAUGAUCCCCAACCUCCCUGGCACACCCCGGUCAAUUUUUGACCCAUAACACGUUCGAACCCCGAGCCCACCUACGAAACUGUGGGCUAUAACACACCGAUUGGCCUGAAAAUACUUCGUUCGCACUAUUUUGCCCGUUUGUCCACCCAAAUGGCCAUAAAUUUGAAACAUACCACACUAGGAUGAUCCAUAACCUCCCUGGAUGCCCCGAUCGAUUUUUGGCCCACAGCACGCUCAAGCUUUGGGCCCACCCAUGGAACCGUGGGCUAUAUCAUACCAAUUUGGCUAAAAAAUGCCUCGUUCAUGUUGUUUCACCCAUUUAUCCACCCAAAUGACCACAAAUAUUAAAAUGGAUCACACUGGGACAAUCUCUAACCCCCUUGGCAUGUUUUGGUCAAUUUUUGGCCCACAGCAUGCUCGAACCCCAGGCCCACCAUCGAAAUCGUAGGCUAUAUAGCACACCGAUUUGGCCCAAAAAUGCCUUGUUCACACCAUUUCAAUCAUUUGUCUAUCCAAAUGGCGACGAAGAUUGAAACGGACCAUACUGGAACAAUCCCUAACCUCCCUGGCCCACCCCGAUUGAUUUUUGGCCCACAACACGUCUGGACCUGAUACAAGUGCAGUCACGUAGAUGGAUUUAAGAGAGUGUGUGUUGGGCCCGAGGCUUGGUGUGUAUAAAAUGAAGUGCAAAUAGGACCUAAAUACACACCAAAUCAGUCCAUUAUGCACUAGAGGGGCACCCCAUCAUUGAGGGGCCUUUUUGUCUUUUAACUCUUAUUAUGUAAUACACUAUAAAAGGAACAUUCUAGGGUUUGAGUUUGCAGUUUUUUUGGAUAUUGAAUAUUGUAUCUCACUCUUGAAACACACAAGUUCUCUCCUAAAAGGGGCUUGGCCGAAACUAGGUAACAAUUAGAGUAUGAAUUCACUCUUGUUGUUUGUUUGCUUAGAGCCUUGGAUGCUUGAAGGAUUGAGUUCCCUCUUGUGUUCUUUGAAGAGUGUAGGUGUUGCUACUUUCAUUUUUAAGGGUCUUUGUGUUUGAGAACACAUUAGGUUCUUAGACUUUGUAGUAGUGUAGGCCUAUCUUUCUAUCGUUUACAUUCUUGUAAUCUUGUCACGGUUGGUAUCUUGAAUUGUAAGCCGUUUGUCUUGUUGUUGUUCUUCACAUUAUUGUGUUCAUCUUGUGCUUCAUAUAUUGUUGUUAAUCUCAGUUUGGGGCUGGCUGAUUAUUGUGUUUAACACGUGAUAUUCUCUUCAUUAUUGUUAUCACUAGCGAAUUCGAGUGUGGUCACCAAGAUAGUCCUCGAUUUCUUGACUUGUGGACUGUUUUGGUGUGUGAUUCCGUGGCUUCCUUGUUUAUCUUGUAUCAGGACCCCGGGCCAACCUAUGGAAUCAUGGGCUAUAAAACACUGAUUUGGCCCAAAAUUGCCUCGUUCACGUCGUUUUGCACGUUUGUCCACCCAAAUGGCCACGAAUAUUGAAAUGGACAACACAGGGAUGAUCCCCAACCUCCCUGGCACUCCCCGAUCAAUUUUCGACCCACAUCAAUCCUGGACCCUGAGCCCACCCAUGGAGGUCGAAAUUGUGGGUUAUAGCUCACCGAUUUGCCCUGAAAAUGCCCCGUUCGCGUCGUUUUGCCCAUUUGUCCAUCAAUAUUGAAACGGACUAAACUGGGACGAUCCCCAACCUCUCUGGUAUGCCUCGGUUGAUUUUUGGCCCACAACAUGCCCGAACCCCAGGCCUAGCCAUGCAGCUGUGGGCUAUAGUACACCGAUUUGGCUAAAAAAUGCCCCGUUUGCGCCAUUUCUCACGUUUGACCACCCAAAUGGCCACGAAUAUUAAAACGGACCACACUGGGAUGAUCCCCACACCCUGCCAUGCCUUGGUCAAUUUUUGAACCACAGCAUGCUUGGAUCCUAAGCCCACCCAUAGAAUCGUGGGCUUUAGCACACCUAUUUGGCCUGAAAAUGCCAGUUCGUGCCAUUUCGCCCGAUUUUCCACUCAAAUGACCACAAAUAUUGAAACAGACCACACUAGGACGAUCCCCAACCUCCGUAGCAUGGCCCCAUCGAUUUUCGGCCCACAAUAUUCUCGAACCCCGGGUCCACCCACGGAACUGUGGGCUAUAGCACACCGAUUUGGUUAAAAAAUGCCCCCGUUCGCGUCGUUUCGCUCAUUUGUCCAUCCAAAUGGCCACGAAUAUUUAACGAACCACACUGGGAUAUACCCAACCUUUCUGGCAUGCCCCAGUCAAUUUUCAUCCCACAGCAUGCCCGAACCCCGAGCUGACCCAUGGAAUCGUGGGCUAUAGCACACCAAUUUGGCCCGAAAAUUCUCCGUUCGUGCCAUUUCGCCCGUUUGUCCACCCGAAUGGCACGAAUAUUGAAAUGGACCACAUUAGGAUGAUCUUCAAACUCUCUAGCACGCCCCGAUCGAUUUUUGAUCCAUAGUACGCCUGGACCCCAGGUCCACCUACGUAACCAUGGGCUAUAACACACUAAUUUAGCCCAAAAAUACCCCAUUUGUGCUGUUUCACUCGUUUGUCCACCUAAAUGGCCACGAAUAUUGAAACAAACCAUACUAGGACGAUCCCCAACCUCCCUGGCAUGUCCCGAUCGAUUUUUGGUCCACAGCAUGCUCGGACCUCGAGCCCACCCACGGAACCGUGGGCUAUAGCACACCGAUUUGGCCUAAAAAUGCCCAAUUCGUGUCGUUCUGCCCAUUUGUCUACCCAAAUGGCCACGAAUAUUUAAAUGAACCACACUGGGAUGAUCCUAAACUCCCUAGAAUACCCGAAUCAAAUGUUAUCCCACAGCACGAUCGAACCCCAGGCCCACCCAUGGAACCGUGGGCUAUAGCACACCGAUUUCGCCCAAAAAUGCCCCUUUCGCUGCUUCACCCUUAUGUCAACCCAAAUGGCCACAAACAUUAAAACGGAUCACACUGGGAUGAUCUCCAACGUCCCUACCUCACCUCAAUCGAUUUUUGGUCUACAACACGCCCAUACCCUGGGCCCACCUACGAAAUUAUGGGCUAUAGCACAUCGAUAUGGCCCGAAAAUGCCCCGUUCGCACCGUUUCGCCCAUUUGUCCACCCAAAUGACACUGAAUAUUGAAACAAACCACACGGGGAUUAUCAAUUUUUGUUCCAUAGCACGCCUACAGAACUGUGGGCUAUAGCAUACCGUUAAGGCCCGAAAAUGCUCUGUUCGCACCAUUUUGCCCGUUUGUUCACCAAAUCGCCACAAAUAUUGAAACGAACCAUACUGGGAUUAUCUCCAACCUCUCUAGCAUGCCCUGGUCGAUUUUUGGCCAACAUCACACUCGAACCCCGGGCCCACCCAUGAAAUUAUGGGCUAUUACACAUCGAUUUGGGCUGAAAAUGCCUAGUUCCCGCUGUUUUUCCCGUUUGUACAUCCAAAUAUCCACGAAUAUUGAAACGGACCACAUUGAGAUGAUUGCAACCUCUCUGGCACGCCCUAAUUGAUUUUUGGCCUACAACACGCUCGGACCUGAGCCCACCCACGGAAUCGUGGGCUAAAUCAUACUGAUUUGGCCUGAAAAUGCCCCGUUCUAGCCGUUUCGUCCAUUUGUCCACCCAAAUGACCAUGAAUAUUGAAAUGGACCAUACUUGAAUGAUCCUCAACCUCUCUGGCACGUCCCGAUCAAUUUUUGACCCACAACAUGCCCGAACCUCGGGCCCACCCAUGGAACCGUAGGCUAUAGCACACCGAUUUAGUUUAAAAUGCCUCAUUCGCGCCGUUUUGCCCGUUUGUCCACCCAAAUGACCACGAAUAUUGAAACGGACCACAAUGGGAUGAUCCCUAACCUCCCUGGCACGCCCCGAUCUAUUUUUGGCACACAACAUGCUCGAACCCUAGGCGCAUCAUGAAAUCGUGGGUAAUAGCACACCGAUUUGGCCUGAAAAUGCAUCAUUCGCACUGUUGAGCCUAUUUGUCCACCCAAAUGACCACAAAUAUUGAAACGGACCAUAAUGCGAUGAUGCUAAACUCCCUAGCAUGCUUCGGUUGAUUUUCCACCCACAGUAUGCCCGGAUCCCGGGCCCAUCCACGAAAUCGUGGACUCACAUCGAUUUAGCCUAAAAAUGCUCCGUUCGCGCUAUUUUGCCUAUUUGUCCACCCAAAUGGCCACGAAUAUUGAAACAGACCACAUUGGGAUGAUCCCCAACCUCCAUGGCACGCCCCGGUUAAUUUUUGGCCCACAAAAUGCCCAAAUCCCGAGCCUACCCAUGGAAUCGUGGGCUAUAACACAUAAAUUUGGCCUAAAAAUUCCCCGCUCACGCCAUUUUGCUUGUUUGUCUACCAAAAUGGCCACGAAUAUUGAAACGGACCAUACUGAGAUGAUCUCCAACCUCCUUAACACGCCACGAUUGAUUUUCAGCCCACAGCAUGCUCGAUCCUCAGGCUCACCCACAGAACCGUAGGCUAUAGAACACUGAUUUGGCCUGAAAAUGCCCCGUUUGUGCUGUUUCGCACAUUUGUCCACCCAAAUGCCACGAAUAUUGAAACAGACCGCACUGGGAUGAUCCCCAACCUCCCUAGCACACCCCGGGCAAUUUUUGGCCCAUAGCACGCCCAAACCCCAGGCCACCCCACAGAAUCAUGGGCUAUUGCAUACCGAUCUAUCCCAAAAAGGCCCCGUUCGUGAUGUUUCGCCCGUUUGUCCACCCAAAUAGCGACGAAAAUUUAAACGGACCACACUGAGACGAUCCCCAACCUCUCUGGCACGCCCCGGUUGAUUUUCAGCUCACAACACACCCGAACCCCAGGCCCACCCCUAAAAUUGUGGUCUAUAGCACACCGAUUUGGCAUGAAAAUACCCCGUUCGUGUCGUUUCGCCCGUUUAUCCACCCAAAUAGCCACGAAAAUUUAAAUGGAUCACACUGGAAUGAUCCCCAACCUCCCUGGGAUGCCCCAGUUGAUUUUCAGCCCACAGCACGCCUGGACCCCAGGCCCACCCCCGAAAUCGUGGGCUAUAGCACACAGAUUUUGCUCGAAAAUGUUCCAUUCGCACCGUUUCACCGUUUGUCAAUCCAAAUGGCCCCAAAAAUUUAAACGAAACACACUAGGAUGUUCCCAACCUUCCUAGUAUACCCUAGUCAAUUUUAGGCCCACAACACGCCCAAACCUCAGACCCUCCCCCAAAAUCAUGGGUUAUAGCACACCGACUUUUUCCAAAAA
This 18939-nucleotide long non-coding RNA is filed under the name Capsicum annuum. RNAcentral describes it as "long non-coding RNA (CANN_LNC007504)". The record is from RNAcentral. Lineage: Eukaryota; Viridiplantae; Streptophyta; Magnoliopsida; Solanales; Solanaceae.